CUGCGAACAGGGAAUCAGCAUUGAGCAGGUGUGUUUCCAUCAGAGGUCUGCAGGACUUGGUUCUUGGCCCUACACUAAUUACCACGACAUUAUUCAUGGCCUGGAAGAAAACACAAUAUCAUCGCUGAUCAUGUUUGAGAUGACACGGGAAGUGGAGCAGCUCGAGUCUCUGGGCUUGCAACUGGUGCUGCAAGAGCCAGGGCUGGGGCCGUUUCCAGGACCGUUAACAGCUGCCAGGAAUAGGGAAAAGCUGAGGAUUUUCAAAAGAGCUGGGUCAGACCUACGGUCCAUCUAGUCCAGUAUCCUGUCUCCAAGAGCAACCACUAAAGAGCUUCAGGGGGAGUGCACAGAACAGGCCAAUUUUGGAGAGAUCCACUCCUUGUCUUCCCCUCCUAGCUUCUGCCACUCAGAGGUUUAGGGAGACCCAGGGCAUGGUAAUAAAAAAAAGGUAAUAAUUGGAGAUAUACCAAUUUCCUAGAACUAGAACGGACCUUGAAGGGUCAUUGAGUCCAGCCCCCUGCCUUCACUAGC
Molecule: long non-coding RNA, 531 nt
Organism: Mauremys reevesii (Reeves's turtle)
Lineage: Eukaryota; Metazoa; Chordata; Testudines; Geoemydidae
Exons: 3
Source: RefSeq, a predicted model, not a curated record